This 497-nucleotide ribosomal RNA is filed under the name uncultured bacterium. RNAcentral describes it as "partial 16S ribosomal RNA". It matches the Rfam family "Bacterial small subunit ribosomal RNA", at positions 28 to 507 of the family's 1533-position model. The record is from RNAcentral.
GAUGAACGCUGGCGGCGUGCCUAAUACAUGCAAGUCGAGCGAACAGACGAGGAGCUUGCUCCUCUGACGUUAGCGGCGGACGGGUGAGUAACACGUGGAUAACCUACCUAUAAGACUGGGAUAACUUCGGGAAACCGGAGCUAAUACCGGAUAAUAUAUUGAACCGCAUGGUUCAAUAGUGAAAGACGGUUUUGCUGUCCCUUAUAGAUGGAUCCGCGCCGCAUUAGCUAGUUGGUAAGGGAACGGCUUACCAAGGCGACGAUGCGUAGCCGACCUGAGAGGGUGAUCGGCCACACUGGAACUGAGACACGGUCCAGACUCCUACGGGAGGCAGCAGUAGGGAAUUUUCCGCAAUGGGCGAAAGCCUGACGGAGCCACGCCGCGUGAGUCAUGAAGGUCUUCGGCUCGUAAAACUCUGUUAUUCGGGAAGAACAAAUGUGUAAGUACCUAUGCACGUCUUGACGGUACCUAAUCAGAAAGCCACGGCUAACUAGGUG